Long non-coding RNA from Panicum hallii, 820 nucleotides. RefSeq lists it as uncharacterized. The transcript is spliced from 3 exons. NCBI's taxonomy places the organism in Eukaryota, Viridiplantae, Streptophyta, Magnoliopsida, Poales, Poaceae. The record is from RefSeq and is a predicted model, not a curated record.
UCUACCGCUACUCAAAUUCGCUGUGGGCAACGGAGGGUGCCAUGCUGAGGAAGAGGUCGUCGUGCCACCUGUCGCCGCUCAAGCUAGCACCACCCAUCGUCCCUUUUGCUCUACUUCUCGAGGGCGCCAUCAGGGCCGUGGUGGGUGGCGGUGGCGGUGGCCAACGGCAACAUCGGGCAGAUGAUUGAAGGUCGGAAGACUGUGCUGCUCCUAACACGCUGGAGUCAUGAACCUCAAGAGACUCAGUCACCAAGUAGGUGACUUGCUGUCCAGGACGCGCGCUUCGUUCACGACAUUAUUGAAACAGGAGGCAAAGAACCCACUUGAAAACUCCAUCCACAACAUAAGUUUCAGGAAGCAGCAACUAGCUAAUCAAACAAGCCAUUGCUCCUUUCCAUCCUCCUCUCUUACUACUUCAGAAUUCAGAUAUGGCCAAGGCAAGUUCAUACUUUGUUUUAAUUGAAGUUUGAAAUUUCAGCGACCAUACUUUACUACAUUAAAAUAGAAAAAGACCAUCAGGAAAUCUAAAUGAUUAAGUGUUGACACUGUUUUUUUAACGCGGUCUGGUCAAAGAUAAGGCAAGGGAGGAGGCCAAUGGGACUGGCCGAUGCUCAAGCAGAAGAGGCGGUUGAUUGUCCAAGAUGACGUCGCAACCGAUGGAGCGGAAUUGAUGCCGAUGGUCCACGUCAGCAAGUUAUCGUAUGGAGUCCAAAUUAUUUAUUUUAGAAAGAUUGUUUUCUUUUUGGUCAAGUCAUGUUGUGUCGUGAUCGACUAGGGUUUGUUAGCUUAGACUAUAAAUAUUAGUCUACGGGCUUGUAAU